AUUGCACAACAAGCAUCUUCCUCAAGUGCCAAAUCUUUUGGAAAGCUUCCAAGUCAACCAGAAAAUCCAAGAGAGCAGUGUCAAGCUAUUACUUUAAGAAGUGGUAAAGUUAUAAAUGAUGAGAAGAGUGAAAACAGUGAGAAGAGAGAAAAUGAAAAAGGAACUGAUGAGAGUGAAAAACAAGAGAGUGCAGAAAAAUGUAAGGAGAAAUUUGAAGAAAAAGAAGAGAAAUAUAUACCUCCUGAACCCUACAAGCCACAACUUCCCUUUCCACAAAGAUUUCACAAAGCCAAGCUUGAUAGGCAAUUUGGGAAGUUCUUAGAGGUCUUGAAGAAGCUUUACAUAAAUGUGCCUUUUGUUGAUGCUCUUUCACAAAUGCCCUCUUAUGCAAAAUUCUUGAAAGAAAUUCUCUCAAACAAGAGGAGACUUGAAGAUCAUGAGACUGUAGCUUUAAUUGAGGAAUACAGUAUCAUCCUCCAAGGAAACUUCCCCCAAAGCUUAAGGAUCCAGGGAGU
Molecule: unclassified non-coding RNA, 515 nt
Filed under: Hevea brasiliensis (rubber tree)
Lineage: Eukaryota; Viridiplantae; Streptophyta; Magnoliopsida; Malpighiales; Euphorbiaceae
Source: RNAcentral